UCCCGAAUAGCUCAGCUGGUAGAGCAAGUGACUGUUAAUCACUGGGUCGCAGGUUCGAGUCCUGCUUCGGGAGCCA
RNAcentral lists this transfer RNA (76 nucleotides) under Billgrantia gudaonensis. RNAcentral's name for it is "Halomonas gudaonensis tRNA_Asn_GTT". It matches the Rfam family "tRNA". Rfam says of the family: Transfer RNA (tRNA) molecules are approximately 80 nucleotides in length. Lineage: Bacteria; Pseudomonadati; Pseudomonadota; Gammaproteobacteria; Oceanospirillales; Halomonadaceae. The record is from RNAcentral.